Molecule: ribosomal RNA, 397 nt
Filed under: Phyllodoce maculata
Lineage: Eukaryota; Metazoa; Annelida; Polychaeta; Phyllodocida; Phyllodocidae
Description: SSU rRNA
Rfam family: Eukaryotic small subunit ribosomal RNA
Source: RNAcentral
GUGCCAGCAGCCGCGGUAAUUCCAGCUCCAAUAGCGUAUAUUAAAGUUGUUGCAGUUAAAAAGCUCGUAGUUGGAUCUCAGGUCCCGGCUCGCGGUUCACUUCGCGGUGCUUACUGCCCGUCCGGACCUACCCGCCGGUUUUCCCUUGGUGCUCUUCAUUGAGUGUCUCGGGUGGCCGGAACGUUUACUUUGAAAAAAUUAGAGUGUUCAAAGCAGGCGCUUCGCCUGAAUAAUGGUGCAUGGAAUAAUGGAAUAGGACCUCGGUUCUAUUUUGUUGGUUUUCGGAACUCGAGGUAAUGAUUAAGAGGGACAGACGGGGGCAUUCGUAUUACGGUGUUAGAGGUGAAAUUCUUGGAUCGCCGUAAGACGAACUACUGCGAAAGCAUUUGCCAAGAAU